GGUGUGCGUAGGUUAAAAGUGUGAAUAGAUAUUGUGUUGCCAUGAGUAUUUCAUGUUUGUUACACAACAAUCAAUAUUAGCUACAAUUUGUUCUUCAUCCGAGUGAACAAUAAAGAUGUAACUGUGUUGCUGAUAAAACAACCAUGAUACUGACAUAUAUGUAUGUUUAUCCAGAUAUUAAUAGCGGCAAACCAUUUUGCUAACUUAGUAAUUAGGCUGAGGGCCUGUAAUGUAAGCAAAUUAAAAUUCUUCUUAAAGAUUAACUCAUCUGUGACCAAUGACCACUCCACAAUUUAGAGCCCACUACAAAUAUGUCAAGCUUGUAUUCAAGGCCCAUUUUGAGCAUCUCACAGUAGCUAUUUCUAGCUAUGUAGCUUCUCAUUGCUUUUUGGACUAAGGAUUUUCCAUUAGCAUUCAACGUGUUACGCCUGGUAUAACGCUGCUGGAAGAACUCCGGCAAUGGUUAUACAAAGUAUGGAAUUGGUUGUGAUCUGUUUUUAUUCUGUACUGACAUCCAGAAUCUUUUCGGGCAGAUGUGAGGGUUUGGAGGCAUUGCUGUGAAAAUUUUUGAUGCUGGGUACACUUUUGAAAUUAAAGCUUAGUGGUCAAGAAGAAUUUGUCAGGCUAGGUGAUGAAAAUUUUUUUCGUGGGUGGUGAAUCAUACAGUUUUAACAGCUCUGAUGUGAUUUAUUUCACCUUCAUACAUCGUGCAGAAGUUGGUGACCUGAAAACCUUAACAUGGAAAAGUCAUCUGUGCCUGUGCACUGGAUGUCCAACAUUCAAUUAGUAUUUCUAUUUCUUUAGGCUUGCUGUUGUUUUCCAGCUAUAUCUAGCAUGUAAAUCUUGAUCCAGGUAUAUGAUAAUAUUCAGUGAAAUGAGGAAUAAAUUAUCAUUUAUCCCAGGUAAAGGUGUGAACCUUCCAAAGACAGCAGUUCAAUUAAAGUAGGUUUGGGUGUGGAGAAUGGUAAUCUUUAAUUAGUGGAUGUGUACCUAAAGGACAGUGUUUGCCAUUGUGGUGAGUGUACUUGAGGCCUUUAAAAUGAUCAAUGAAGUUUGAGGUGUAACAUGUCGAAACUGGUUUUGAGGACAUGAAUAAGAAUAUCUUAGCAAAUCGAACUGCUGUUACCUGUCUGCAGGGUAAUUACUUUUAUGUUGAUUUCACACUUUCG
Daphnia carinata is the source of this 1169-nucleotide long non-coding RNA. RefSeq lists it as uncharacterized. The record is from RefSeq and is a predicted model, not a curated record. NCBI's taxonomy places the organism in Eukaryota, Metazoa, Arthropoda, Branchiopoda, Diplostraca, Daphniidae. The transcript has 7 exons.